GAUCUGGCUCAGGACGAACGCUGGCGGCGUGCUUAACACAUGCAAGUCGAACGAGAAUCUACUGAAAGAGUUUUCGGACAAUGGAAGUAGAGGAAAGUGGCGGACGGGUGAGUAACGCGUGAGGAACCUGCCUUGAAGAGGGGGACAACAGUUGGAAACGACUGCUAAUACCGCAUGAUGCAUAAGGGUCGCAUGAUUCUUAUGCCAAAGAUUUAUCGCUUCAAGAUGGCCUCGCGU
RNAcentral lists this ribosomal RNA (237 nucleotides) under uncultured bacterium. RNAcentral describes it as "partial 16S ribosomal RNA". It matches the Rfam family "Bacterial small subunit ribosomal RNA", at positions 15 to 236 of the family's 1533-position model. The record is from RNAcentral.